RNAcentral lists this ribosomal RNA (471 nucleotides) under uncultured bacterium. RNAcentral's name for it is "bacterial SSU rRNA". It matches the Rfam family "Bacterial small subunit ribosomal RNA", at positions 438 to 905 of the family's 1533-position model. The record is from RNAcentral.
CGGGGGGGGGAAUGAGGUCCGCAGGGAAUGGCGGGCCGAUGACGUGAACCCCGGAAUAAGCCCCGGCUAACUACGUGCCAGCAGCCGCGGUAACACGUAGGGGGCGAGCGUUGUUCGGAAUCAUUGGGCGUAAAGGGCGCGCAGGCGGCGAGGCAAGUCCGGUGUGAAAGUGCUCGGCUCAACCGAGUGAUGCGCUGGAAACUGCCCUGCUUGAGUACAGGAGGGGACGUCGGAAUUCCAGGUGUAGGGGUGAAAUCUGUAGAUAUCUGGAAGAACACCGGUGGCGAAGGCGGACGUCUGGCCAUGUACUGACGCUGAGGCGCGAAGGUGCGGGGAGCGAACAGGUUUAAAUACCCUGGUAGUCCGCACAGUAAACGAUGUGCACCAGGUGGCGGGGGGUAGCCCUCGGUACCGAAGCCAACGCAUUAAGUGCACCGCCUGGGGAGUAUGCUCGCAAGGGUGAAACUCAAG